UGGGGAAUUUUGGACAAUGGGCGAAAGCCUGAUCUAGCCAUGCCGCGUGAGUGAAGAAGGCCUUCGGGUUGUAAAGCUCUUUUAGUCGGAAAGAAAGAGUUGCAAUGAAUAAUUGUGAUUUAUGACGGUACCGACUGAAAAAGCACCGGCUAACUACGUGCCAGCAGCCGCGGUAAUACGUAGAGUGCGAGCGUUAAUCGGAAUUACUGGGCGUAAAGGGUGCGCAGGCGGUCUUGCAAGUCAGAUGUGAAAGCCCCGGGCUUAACCUGGGAAUUGCGUUUGAAACUACAAGGCUAGAGUGCAGCAGAGGGGAGUGGAAUUCCAUGUGUAGCAGUGAAGUGCGUAGAGAUGUGGAAGAACACCGAUGGCGAAGGCAGCUCCCUGGGUUGACACUGACGCUCAUGCACGAAAGCGUGGGGAGCAAACA
This 427-nucleotide ribosomal RNA is filed under the name uncultured beta proteobacterium. RNAcentral describes it as "bacterial SSU rRNA". It matches the Rfam family "Bacterial small subunit ribosomal RNA", at positions 355 to 774 of the family's 1533-position model. Lineage: Bacteria; Pseudomonadati; Pseudomonadota; Betaproteobacteria. The record is from RNAcentral.